UUAAUGCCCAGGAGAGUGGCAGUCCACAUGGACUGUUGACUAGAGAUUUAUCGGUGUGGGAUGAGCUUGCGUCCGAUUAGCUAGUUGGCGGGGUAACGGCCCUCCAAGGCGACGAUCGGUAGCCGGCCUGAGAGGGUGAUCGGUCACAUUGGGACUGAGAUACGGCCCAGACUCCUACGGGAGGCAGCAGUAGGGAAUAUUGCACAAUGGGGGAAACCCUGAUGCAGCAACGCCACGUGUGGGAAGAAGCAUUUCGGUGUGUAAACCACUGUCGUGAGGGAAUAAUGCUUAAUUUCGGUUAAGUUGAAUGUACCUCGAAAGGAAGCACCGGCAAACUUCGUGCCAGCAGCCGCGGUAAUACGAGGGGUGCAAGCGUUGUUCGGAAUCACUGGGCGUAAAGGGAGCGUAGGCGGAGAUGCAAGCAGUCUGUACAAUACCGGGGCCCAACCCCGGACCUGCAGACUGGACUGUUUCUCUUGGAUAGUUCAGGGGCAAGCGGAAUUCCUGGUGUAGCGGUGGAUGCGUAGAGAUCAGGAAGAACACCGAUGGCGAAGGCAGCUUGCUGGGGACUUAUCGACGCUCAUGCUCGAAAGUGCGGGUAGCAAACAGGAUUAGACACCCUGGUAGUCCGCACCGUANACAAUGCAUACUGGGUGUCCGGGGCUCGCCCCGGGUACCGAAGCCAACGCGUUAAGUAUGCCGCCUGGGGAGUACGUACGCAAGUAUGAAACUCAAAGGAAUUGACGGGGGCCCGCACAAGCGGUGGAGCAUGUGGGUUUAAUCC
Molecule: ribosomal RNA, 784 nt
Filed under: uncultured Fibrobacter sp.
Lineage: Bacteria; Pseudomonadati; Fibrobacterota; Fibrobacteria; Fibrobacterales; Fibrobacteraceae
Description: bacterial SSU rRNA
Rfam family: Bacterial small subunit ribosomal RNA
Source: RNAcentral